Molecule: long non-coding RNA, 1387 nt
Filed under: Salmo salar (Atlantic salmon)
Lineage: Eukaryota; Metazoa; Chordata; Actinopteri; Salmoniformes; Salmonidae
Description: lncRNA (ENSSSAG00000103023.1)
Source: RNAcentral
GUGUUCUAUAUAUAGGGAAUAGGGCCCUGGUCUAUAUAGGGAAUAGGGCCCUGGUCUAUAUAGGGGAUAGGGCCCUGGUCUAUAGGGAAUAGGGCCCUGGUCUAAAGUAGUGUUCUAUAUAUAGGGAAUAGGGCCCUGGUCUAUAUAGGGAAUAGGGCCCUGGUCUAAAGUAGUGUCCUCUAUAUAGGGAAUAGGGCCCUGGUCUAUAUAGGGAAUAGGGCUCUGGUCUAUAUAGGGGAUAGGGCCCUGGUCUAAAGUAGUGUCCUCUAUAUAGGGAAUAGGGCCCUGGUCUAUAUAGGGAAUAGGGCCCUGGUCUAAAGUAGUGUUCUAUAUAUAGGGAAUAGGGCCCUGGUCUAUAUAGGGAAUAGGGCCCUGGUCUAUAUAGGGAAUAGGGCCCUGGUCUAAAGUAGUGUUCUAUAUAUAGGGAAUAGGGCCCUGGUCUAUAUAGGGAAUAGGGCCCUGGUCUAAAGUAGUGUUCUAUAUAUAGGGAAUAGGGCCCUGGUCUAUAUAGGGAAUAGGGCCCUGGUCUAUAGGGAAUAGGGCCCUGGUCUAAAGUAGUGUCCUCUAUAUAGGGAAUAGGGCCCUGGUCUAUAUAGGGAAUAGGGCCCUGGUCUAUAUGGGAAUAGGGCCCUGGUCUAAAGUAGUGUCCUAUAUAUAGGGAAUAGGGCCCUGGUCUAUAUAGGGAAUAGGGCCCUGGUCUAAAGUAGUGUUCUCUAUAUAGGGAAUAGGGCUCUGGUCUAUAUAGGGAAUAGGGCCCUGGUCUAAAGUAGUGUCCUCUAUAUAGGGAAUAGGGCCCUGGUCUAUAUAGGGAAUAGGGCCCUGGUCUAAAGUAGUGUCCUAUAUAUAUAUAGGGAAUAGGGCCCUGGUCUAUAUAGGGAAUAGGGCCCUGGUCUAAAGUAGUGUCCUCUAUAUAGGGAAUAGGGCCCUGGUCUAAAGUAGUGUCCUAUAUAGGGAAUAGGGCCCUGGUCUAUAUAGGGAAUAGGGCCCUGGUCUAAAGUAGUGUCCUCUAUAUAGGGAAUAGGGCCCUGGUCUAUAUAGGGAAUAGGGCCCUGGUCUAUAUAGGGAAUAGGGCACUGGUCUAAAGUAGUGUCCUCUAUAUAGGGAAUAGGGCCCUGGUCUAAAGUAGUGUCCUCUAUAUAGGGAAUAGGGCCCUGGUCUAUAUAGGGAAUAGGGCCCUGGUCUAAAGUAUAGUGCACUAUAUAGGGAAUAGGGCCCUGGUCUAAAGUAGUGCACUAUAUAGGGAAUAGGGCCCUGGUCUAAAGUAGUGCACUAUAUAGGGAAUAGGGCCCUGGUCUAAAGUAGUGCACUAUAUAGGGAAUAGGGCCCUGGUCUAAAGUAGUGUCCUAUAUAGGGAAUAGGGCCCUGGUCUAAAGUAGUGUCCUAUAUA